GUUUAGAAUUUGAAUCUUAAAUUCCUGAAUUUCCUUUUCGGCGACGAAUACAGACUUCCCACAAGAAGCUGAAUUUCCUCUAUAAAUCAGAACAAAGCAAAGCACUGAACCAGAAUUACUCACUAAGAAGCUCUUAAGUUCUUUUUGCUUUCUACUCGAAUCAAAUCUUCCAUUAAUCCCUUGAUUUCAUUAAUAACAGAAGAAUAACUCGAAAUCAUCAACCGGAUCCACCAUGAAUUCAUGCAACAAUGGAAAUCCGUCUCUAUGCGCAAGGGAUGCGGUUUCUACGGC
RNAcentral lists this long non-coding RNA (291 nucleotides) under Carica papaya (papaya). Its description in RNAcentral is "long non-coding RNA (CPAP_LNC012206)". The record is from RNAcentral. Lineage: Eukaryota; Viridiplantae; Streptophyta; Magnoliopsida; Brassicales; Caricaceae.